Apis mellifera (honey bee) is the source of this 1655-nucleotide long non-coding RNA. RefSeq lists it as uncharacterized. Lineage: Eukaryota; Metazoa; Arthropoda; Insecta; Hymenoptera; Apidae. The record is from RefSeq and is a predicted model, not a curated record. The transcript has 7 exons.
AACGUGAAAAAUCAGCUUCAGUUUCCCUUUGUUUCCUUUAUUUUAAUUUAUCGAUUGGGAUCGUGAAAAUGGAAGAAGAGGAACGUAUUUUUAGAAAUUAUAUUUUCGUUGACACGAAUCGUGUCGAGCGUUUUUUCACUCUUGCGGAUAAUCAAUCCAUCAACUUACGCAAUCUUCAAACUUAGCGGAAAUAUGAUCGACGACUCUUCGCUAACUUUCUAAAAGCUUUCACUUCAAGAGGAAAACGGUCAUAUUAUCAGAAAUAAACGAGGCUCGCGUAAAAGUAAUAGUCAAUUAUCGUUAAUUACUGACCGUCCUGAAUCUGCAAACCAAGACUCUGCGGAGACCCGUCGCCGUCCAUGACGGAAACCAAAGACGCGCCGCAGCAUCGUGGCAUUUUCUCAUCGAAACGUCACAGUCCGCAAAUCUUUAACCAUCCUCCUGUAUAGAAAUUGCAUUGAGUUGAGAAACCAACCAACCAACCAACCCUGAGCAAACAAAGAUCUUUCGUGCGAAAUGGGAAAGAAAAGAGAUUGUCGUCGUGAUUUCAUUCGCUCGUUUCAAUCGUGGAUUUGUAUUUCGUCAAUUCUACGUAUACAAAAGAAAUCAUAAAGAUUUAGCCAUCCAUUGGUUAAAAAAAUAAAGAAGAAAAUAGUAAAAAUGGGAAACGUGAUCGCGAUAGAUGAGAAGCAGGGUGAAACGUUGAUCCCACGCUGGACUAGAAGGUACUGCACCAAACACGCGGACCGAUAUAGCCCUCGGACAGGUAGAUCAAUAUAGUAGCUACGGCAUGCCUAACACGCAGGAUCUCUUGCCAGUGAACGCGUGAUUCUCAGCCCGCGGUGAUUGAGGGUGAAGCUGGCCGAAUUUCAUCUUAAAUUGAAGAUAACAAGAGCUAACUUGAUUUGAAACAAGGAAUACUUUCGAAUAAUUUCAAGAAGAGCUUAGAAGCAACAUUUCUUAUGGAAAUAAUAGUAUAUUCAAUAUUAUAUAUACAAUAUUUUCACAUACCUAAUCCUAAAUUCUCGAGUAAUUCGGUAUCUUUCUCUCUCAAUUUUACAUAAUUCGAUCGAAUGCUGAUUAUUCAUUCACUUCUGAAUUGUUAAACUGUCCCUGAAUAUCUGACCGUGUGAUAUAGUUUUCCUUAUAAUUUCCUUUCAGUAAGAAACUAUGAAGUUGUUUAGUAUAUAUUAUGAGAUGAAACGUCGAUUUCAAAUCCCACGAUGCUUUCUUCUUCCAAAUUCCAAUCACAAGUAAGACCAAUUCUCACUAUCGGGACAGGACAGGGGACAAAAUGUACCUGCCAAACGGCCCUGCCCUGCCCUAUCCUGACCCAAUAAUGCGAACCGGGCAUGAUCCAGCUAUCAGAUUGUAAUCGAUUGGUUGGGAUGAAUGGAUGAUUUGUUGAUCUCCGAUCGAUGAUAUUCGAUUAACGAAGUUGAAAUAGUUGUGAAAGCGAGUUUGAAGAUAAAAGGUAAAUUGAAAUGAUAUGAGAAAGAAUACUGUAGAAUAAUUUUUUAUAUCUUAUAUUUCUAAAAUGUUUCUAAUCUUCUUGCCACUUUUUUAGGAUUGAUAAAAUUUCUAUUUCUCAAAAUUAUUUUUUUUAUAUCCAGAUUUAAAUAUAUUUUUAACUUUCAUUUCCUGAUUUAAAAGAU